AGACCCGAAACCCGGUGAUCUAGCCAUGGGCAGGUUGAAGGUUGGGUAACACUAACUGGAGGACCGAACCGACUAAUGUUGAAAAAUUAGCGGAUGACCUGUGGCUGGGGGUGAAAGGCCAAUCAAACCGGGAGAUAGCUGGUUCUCCCCGAAAGCUAUUUAGGUAGCGCCUCGUGAAUUCAUCUCCGGGGGUAGAGCACUGUUUCGGCUAGGGGGCCAUCCCGGCUUACCAACCCGAUGCAAACUGCGAAUACCGGAGAAUGUUAUCACGGGAGACACACGGCGGGUGCUAACGUCCGUCGUGAAGAGGGAAACAACCCAGACCGCCAGCUAAGGUCCCAAAGUCAUGGUUAAGUGGGAAACGAUGUGGGAAGGCCCAGACAGCCAGGAUGUUGGCUUAGAAGCAGCCAUCAUUUAAAGAAAGCGUAAUAGCUCACUGGUCGAGUCGGCCUGCGCGGAAGAUGUAACGGGGCUAAACCAUGCACCGAAGCUGCGGCAGCGACGCUUAUGCGUUGUUGGGUAGGGGAGCGUUCUGUAAGCCUGCGAAGGUGGCCUGUGAGGGUUGCUGGAGGUAUCAGAAGUGCGAAUGCUGACAUAAGUAACGAUAAAGCGGGUGAAAAGCCCGCUCGCCGGAAGACCAAGGGUUCCUGUCCAACGUUAAUCGGGGCAGGGUGAGUCGACCCCUAAGGCGAGGCCGAAAGGCGUAGUCGAUGGGAAACGGGUUAAUAUUCCCGUACUUGGUGUUACUGCGAAGGGGGGACGGAGAAGGCUAUGUUGGCCGGGCGACGGUUGUCCCGGUUUAAGCGUGUAGGUGUGUGUUCCAGGUAAAUCCGGUUCACUUUAACACUGAGGCGUGACGACGAGGCACUACGGUGCUGAAGCAACAAAUGCCCUGCUUCCAGGAAAAGCCUCUAAGCAUCAGGUAACAUCAAAUCGUACCCCAAACCGACACAGGUGGUCAGGUAGAGAAUACCAAGGCGCUUGAGAGAACUCGGGUGAAGGAACUAGGCAAAAUGGUGCCGUAACUUCGGGAGAAGGCACGCUGACACGUAGGUGAAGUGAUUUACUCAUGGAGCUGAAGUCAGUCGAAGAUACCAGCUGGCUGCAACUGUUUAUUAAAAACACAGCACUGUGCAAACACGAAAGUGGACGUAUACGGUGUGACGCCUGCCCGGUGCCGGAAGGUUAAUUGAUGGGGUCAGCGCAAGCGAAGCUCCUGAUCGAAGCCCCGGUAAACGGCGGCCGUAACUAUAACGGUCCUAAGGUAGCGAAAUUCCUUGUCGGGUAAGUUCCGACCUGCACGAAUGGCGUAAUGAUGGCCAGGCUGUCUCCACCCGAGACUCAGUGAAAUUGAACUCGCUGUGAAGAUGCAGUGUACCCGCGGCAAGACGGAAAGACCCCGUGAACCUUUACUAUAGCUUGACACUGAACAUUGAGCCUUGAUGUGUAG
This 1450-nucleotide ribosomal RNA is filed under the name Salmonella enterica. RNAcentral's name for it is "partial 23S ribosomal RNA". It matches the Rfam family "Bacterial large subunit ribosomal RNA", at positions 711 to 2141 of the family's 2925-position model. RNAcentral also lists the same sequence under 2 other names. Lineage: Bacteria; Pseudomonadati; Pseudomonadota; Gammaproteobacteria; Enterobacterales; Enterobacteriaceae. The record is from RNAcentral.